UGGCAUAAGUUGGAAUUGUUGCCAUCAGAGUGCAAGUGUGCCAGCUCGGUACAGUCAAAUAAUCAACCAGCGCCAUUAACGAUCACACAUAAAUCCAAAGGAUGAGCACCAGAUUUUUUUUUGUGCUAGCACGCAUAGCAUUCAGCAGCUUCCAGUCGGUGUACAGCAACAACAAUUGAUUAAAAAAGCAAUAGCAAGCAACAAAUCCCCACUGAGCGCCCAGUGACUGCCCCUCCUACACUUCGCCAUUCAUCUCGUCCUCACCACCCAGCGCCGAUCUUCCCCCUCCUCUACCUCACCAUCAAGCGCUCCUCCUCCUUCUCUUCUCCAUCCACCUCACCACCCAGCCACUUCCCGGCUGCCAAAGGUGGCGCGGGAAAUUCUGGCAGCGCCGGUGUGUGUGUUUGCUGCUGCGGCUGGGGUGGCGGCGGCCUGAUCGUCGGCUCACGGGGGCCGGAGCGGAGUACCGCUGCCGUGGUGGUGGAGCCCCUCCCGGUGGGUGGCUGGGAGCGACGGCGGGCUGCAGGGCUGGCGUGCAGUGGCGGCUCGGUUGCUCGCCAGAUCUGGCAGCCGGCCAGCACGCUCGGGGGCUGGUUGGACCUAUGGCGGAGGCGAGGGAGGAGGUCUGGUGGUGCUGCUCGUCUGCCGGUGGCGGAAGGAUUCUGGGGCGGCUUGGGUGAAAUCACCAAGUUUUCUCUUCCGUGAGCUCUUCUCUGUACCAUCGUUGGCCAUCUCUGUAUGAAUCAAUAUGGCAAAAUUAGCUCGACCUAUCUAUUAGGCUGGGCACACCAUGGCUGCACCAAUUUUUUCUGUAUCCCCAGGUCGGCUCUUCUCCUUCUUUAGGAUUAUUAUAGCUCAAAUGGCAUCUCCAAUUAUUUCUGUGUAUCUUUGGAUCGGCUAAUUUUUUUCUGUGUAUCUUCAGAUCAGCCCUCUCUCCUUCUUUAGGAUUAUUAGGACUUGGGGUAGGCGUAGGCGCUGGGACCGGCGGCGAGCGGCGGCAUGGUAAGGGUGCGGCGCGCUAGAGGUGGAAGAUGGGAUUGGAUCGUGGGUCGUGCGGCUAGGUGAGCUCGUUUUUUAUGUUCUGGCGCUCGUACGUUUUGGUCAUCUGGACUGUGCGGGUUGGUUCUCAUCCUCGCUUCUCUCUCUGUUUUUUCAGAGAGCCGCCAUCCUCCCAGCAAGGCUAGGACCGGCGGAGGCCGAGCGGCGGACUGGUUUGGUUUGUGGUGGUCGUCGACUUGCCGGAGAGGGGCGAGGUGGUGGUCCUCGACUCGCCGAAGAGGGAGGGGGGAGGAGGAGCUGCGGCACGGUCGUCGGGUGAUGGGGUGCGAUGGUGGCGGUUGAGAGGACAGGAUAAGGAAGGGACGUGCGGCUGGUGUUUUCGCUAGCGAAUCAUUAUUUUACAGUAGGUGUGGAUUGCGGGUUGAUUUUAUGUAAACCGAGGGGCUUUCUUGAAAAACUGCCAUGAUGACGGACGACCAGGAAUUAAACCCUAUUUUCUUUAUUAUUAGGUAAAGAUUUGGUAGUUCAAGUUGUGAUCUAUCUCUACUAUUCUUGACCUCCAAGAUUUGUAUCUUAUAUAAACAGCCCUUCGAGACCCUAAUACAUAUUCAGAAUCUCAUAAUCUUCAUGGUAUCCGUCGCCUAGGUUAUCUCCUCGAUAUGUCUC
This 1665-nucleotide long non-coding RNA is filed under the name Triticum aestivum (bread wheat). Its description in RNAcentral is "long non-coding RNA (TAES_LNC019841)". The record is from RNAcentral. Lineage: Eukaryota; Viridiplantae; Streptophyta; Magnoliopsida; Poales; Poaceae.